This 253-nucleotide ribosomal RNA is filed under the name uncultured prokaryote. RNAcentral's name for it is "partial 16S ribosomal RNA". It matches the Rfam family "Bacterial small subunit ribosomal RNA", at positions 524 to 776 of the family's 1533-position model. The record is from RNAcentral.
UACGUAGGUGGCAAGCGUUGUUCGGAAUUAUUGGGCGUAAAGGGCGCGUAGGCGGUUCGUUAAGUCAGUUGUGAAAGCCCGGAGCUCAACUCCGGAGAGUCGACUGAUACUGGCGAGCUAGAGUACGGAAGAGGUAACUGGAAUUCCCGGUGUAGCGGUGAAAUGCGUAGAUAUCAGGAGGAACACCGGCGGUGUAGACGGCUAUCUGGACAGCUACUGACGCUGAGACACGAAAGCGUGGGGAGCAAACAGG